UACGUAGGGGGCAAGCGUUGUUCGGAAUUACUGGGCGUAAAGGGCGCGUAGGCGGCAGGCCAAGUCGGGAGUGAAAGCCCGGGGCUCAACCCCGGAAUGUCUUUCGAAACUGGCCAGCUGGAGUGCGGAAGAGGCAACUGGAAUUCCCAGUGUAGCGGUGAAAUGCGUAGAUAUUGGGAAGAACACCUGAGGCGAAGGCGGGUUGCUGGGCGGACACUGACGCUGAGGCGCGAAAGCCAGGGGAGCAAACGGG
RNAcentral lists this ribosomal RNA (253 nucleotides) under uncultured bacterium. RNAcentral describes it as "partial 16S ribosomal RNA". It matches the Rfam family "Bacterial small subunit ribosomal RNA", at positions 524 to 776 of the family's 1533-position model. The record is from RNAcentral.